AAUUAAUAUUUUCAUCUAGUUCUAUUAUAAAAUAUUAGUAUGACUAACGAAAUAACCAGACAGUUAUAUGUGGUGUGCCAUGUGUACCUUAAGUUGACGUAAAAAGACCAGUUUUUAACAAUAAAAAUAGAUGAAUUUUUUAACA
This is a non-coding RNA of Gossypium raimondii (Peruvian cotton), 145 nucleotides long. The record is from Rfam. Lineage: Eukaryota; Viridiplantae; Streptophyta; Magnoliopsida; Malvales; Malvaceae.